Non-coding RNA from Microdochium bolleyi, 98 nucleotides. NCBI's taxonomy places the organism in Eukaryota, Fungi, Ascomycota, Sordariomycetes, Xylariales, Microdochiaceae. The record is from the annotation of a GenBank genome assembly.
UCCGAAUUGGUGUAGUGGCUAACAUUUGACGCUCUCACUGUUCGCUCCACGAGCGACACUGAUCCGUCAAGCCCGGGGUUCGAUUCCCCGAUUCGGAG